RNAcentral lists this ribosomal RNA (747 nucleotides) under uncultured Sebacinales. RNAcentral's name for it is "eukaryotic LSU rRNA". It matches the Rfam family "Eukaryotic large subunit ribosomal RNA", at positions 148 to 881 of the family's 3401-position model. Lineage: Eukaryota; Fungi; Basidiomycota; Agaricomycetes; Sebacinales. The record is from RNAcentral.
AUCUAUAGAAGUGUUUUCCGCGAUAGACCUUGCACAAGUCUCCUGGAACGGAGCGUCAUAGAGGGUGAGAAUCCCGUAUAUGGCAAGGACUGCUAUUGCUUUUGUGAUACACUCUCAACGAGUCGAGUUGUUUGGGAAUGCAGCUCAAAGUGGGUGGUAAAUUCCAUCUAAAGCUAAAUAUUGGCGAGAGACCGAUAGCGAACAAGUACCGUGAGGGAAAGAUGAAAAGCACUUUGGAAAGAGAGUGAAACAGUACGUGAAAUUGUUGAAAGGGAAACGCUUGAAGUCAGUCGCGUCUCUGGGGAUUCAGCCUUGCUUCUGCUCGGUGUACUUCCUUUUGGACGGGUCAACAUCAGUUUUGGACGGGGGAAAAAGGCUCGAGGAAUGUGACUCUGUUCGCGGAGUGUUAUAGCCUCUUGUUGUAUACCUCGACUGGGACUGAGGAUCGCAGCGUACCUUUAUGGCCGGGGUUUUACCUACGACCGCGCUUAGGAUGUUGGCAUAAUGGCUUUAAGCGACCCGUCUUGAAACACGGACCAAGGAGUCUAACAUGUGUGCGAGUGUUUGGGUGUUAAACCCGAGCGCAUAAUGAAAGUGAAAGUUGGGAUCACCUCGAGUGUGCACCGACGCCCGGAGCUGAUCUUCUGUGACGCAUCUGCGGUAGAGCAUAUAUGUUGGGACCCGAAAGAUGGUGAACUAUGCCUGAAUAGGGUGAAGCCAGAGGAAACUCUGGUGGAGGCUCGUAGC